RNAcentral lists this unclassified non-coding RNA (432 nucleotides) under Hevea brasiliensis (rubber tree). Lineage: Eukaryota; Viridiplantae; Streptophyta; Magnoliopsida; Malpighiales; Euphorbiaceae. The record is from RNAcentral.
AGAAGAAACCCCCCAUGUUGGUGAGCUAAUAAUUUGGUUGGAAGUGAGGUUGCAGCAGAAAAGAAUUGAAUGAUCUAAAAAAUUUACUAAAAUUUGGAGAAAUGAAAAUGAUGUUAUCUUCAGACAAGAGAACUAGAAAAUGGAAGAAGGAAUUAAGUAUCUUGAUUCUUGAAGGUUCAUGUGGUGACUGGUGCAGUGACAACCAGGGAAAGCUUUUCUGGCUUUUUCUUUCAUAAAACAGCUAUGACCUCUGUUUCUCCUCUAGCCAUUGAAACUCCCAUGGCUUUGGGUUCAAUCUUCCAAGCUCAGGCCUCUCCGGGUACGCUUCUAAUCGCCUUAUCCUUUUUUCUUUCCUGCUUCUGAUUCUAACCCUUCAAGACCCUGAUUGCUGUGACUUUGAUUUGGGUAGCUGAUGAUUCUCAAGAGCAUUUA